GACGAACGCUGGCGGCGUGCUUAACACAUGCAAGUCGAACGGUAAGGCCCUUCGGGGUACACGAGUGGCGAACGGGUGAGUAACACGCGGGUGAUCUGCCCUGCACUUCGGGAUAGGCCUGGGAAACUGGGUCUAAUACCGGAUAGGACCACUGCCUGCAUGGGUGGUGGUGGAAAGCUUUUGCGGUGUGGGAUGGGCCCGCGGCCUAUCAGCUUGUUGGUGGGGUGAUGGCCUACCAAGGCGACGACGGGUAGCCGGCCGUAGAGGGUGACCGGCCAGAGUGGGACUGAGAUACGGCCCAGACUCCUACGGGAGGCAGGAGUUGGGAAUAUUGCACAGUGGGCGCAAGGCUGAUGCAGCGACGCCGCGUGAGGGAUGACGGCCUUCGGGUUGUAAACCUCUUUCAGCACCGGCGAAGCGCAAGUGACGGGAGGUGCAGAAGAAGGACCGGCCAACUACGUGCCAGCAGCCGCCGUAA
RNAcentral lists this ribosomal RNA (478 nucleotides) under uncultured bacterium. RNAcentral describes it as "partial 16S ribosomal RNA". It matches the Rfam family "Bacterial small subunit ribosomal RNA", at positions 28 to 523 of the family's 1533-position model. The record is from RNAcentral.